UCAUCAACUACAUCAUUAGAAACUAAUAUUUUGUGAUUGUGUUGUUUUCACAUUUGUAGGAAAUGCCUCAUGUCUUCUGAAAGCCUAAACACUGUCAUGCAAAUCAAACCCCUUCAUAAAUGAUUAGAGGUGUUCUCAGGAGAAGUGAGGGUCUGGGUUCAGGUUCAGACCAAACUAUGUUCUCUACACUUCUACUCUUGCUGUUAACAGCUACAUCUGGUAUUAAAUGUAUUGAACUGGUUCAGCCUGCAGUCAUGCUGGUUAAGCCUGGAGAAUCAUUUUCAGUCCCCUGUAAGAUCACUGGAUACUCAGCCACUAGUCAAUGUACUAACUGGAUACGACAAUCAGGACAAAAACUGGAAUUGAUCGGCUGGUACUGCAGCUCCAGUGAUACUGGCAGCAGUGAUUCACUAAAGAACAAGAUCCGUUUCUCAGCUGAUGCCUCCACCAACACUGUGACUUUACACGGGCAAAACUUUCAGACUGAAGACACAGCUGUGUAUUACUGCGCUCGUAACUCACAGUGAGACAGAUCAACAAAGACGCUGUACAAAAACAUCCAGUACAGAAGUCUGUUAGAGGCAGAAACUGUGUCUUACUUCAAUGUUUCACCUUCUGAGUUUCUCAGAAGAGUGAGAAGAUGAUAUCAGCUAACUUUCUCUCAGUUGAUUGGAUGAGAUUGUAGUGUGAAAUUUUGGAACUACAAUUAGAUGUUAAAUGUAUAACUUUUAAAUCUACUAAAGAAACCCUGACAUCACAUCAUCACAUUAUAUUUGAGUUAUGAGUAAGAUUGAUCAGGCCAUAUUACUUUUCUGAAGUCCACUAAAUAAUUGUUCCUUGUCAUAGGUUAUAUUUUGAUUCAUAUUAAAAUUGUUAAACAGAAUUUAUUCUUUUAAAGUGUCAUAUAAAUAAAAUUAUUAACAUUUAUUUUUAUUUAGAACUUUACCUUGCUGUGGCUCUUGAGGUUUUAUGAAGCUUGAAUGUCUUUUUAUUGGACUUUUUGUUUACUGAAAGCUCUCACUAUGUUCAUUAUAACUUUGCAUAAGAAACGUGCUGCUAUCUAGCAGUUGAUGUUCACAAAAGACAUCUUCUGGUUUCUUCAAAAAGAAUUUAGGAAAAAGAGAAGAUGUUUUAAAUGAUUCAAUUAUUCACAAAGAUUUAAAACAGACAAGUUGUUGGCAUGAGCUCCUGACAGGUUGAGUCAGCUGUAAUAUGUGACCUGAAAUAUUUCUAUAAUUAAAUUCAGUUUCAAACAAAUCACAGUUUCUUAAGAAAGAAGAAUGUUUUUCUGGAUGUUACAGUGAUCCUUGUCCUACAGUGAAUGCUUUUAUUCUUUAAGAAAAAAAUAAA
Molecule: non-coding RNA, 1350 nt
Organism: Tachysurus fulvidraco (yellow catfish)
Lineage: Eukaryota; Metazoa; Chordata; Actinopteri; Siluriformes; Bagridae
Source: the annotation of a RefSeq genome assembly